UGGGGAAUAUUGGACAAUGGGCGAAAGCCUGAUCCAGCCAUGCCGCGUGUGUGAAGAAGGUCUUCGGAUUGUAAAGCACUUUAAGUUGGGAGGAAGGGCAGUAAGCGAAUACCUUGCUGUUUUGACGUUACCGACAGAAUAAGCACCGGCUAACUCUGUGCCAGCAGCCGCGGUAAUACAGAGGGUGCAAGCGUUAAUCGGAAUUACUGGGCGUAAAGCGCGCGUAGGUGGUUCGUUAAGUUGAAUGUGAAAGCCCCUGGCUCAACCUGGGAACUGCAUCCAAAACUGGCGAGCUAGAGUAGGGCAGAGGGUGGUGGAAUUUCCUGUGUAGCGGUGAAAUGCGUAGAUAUAGGAAGGAACACCAGUGGCGAAGGCGACCACCUGGGCUCAUACUGACACUGAGGUGCGAAAGCGUGGGGAGCAAACAGG
RNAcentral lists this ribosomal RNA (429 nucleotides) under Pseudomonadota bacterium. RNAcentral describes it as "Proteobacteria bacterium partial 16S ribosomal RNA". It matches the Rfam family "Bacterial small subunit ribosomal RNA", at positions 355 to 776 of the family's 1533-position model. Lineage: Bacteria; Pseudomonadati; Pseudomonadota. The record is from RNAcentral.